RNAcentral lists this unclassified non-coding RNA (1334 nucleotides) under Hevea brasiliensis (rubber tree). Lineage: Eukaryota; Viridiplantae; Streptophyta; Magnoliopsida; Malpighiales; Euphorbiaceae. The record is from RNAcentral.
GGAGAAUUGUCUCACCCACAUUGAUGUGGGUAGAGGCAUUUGAAUUGAUUCUUCAGAGACUUGAAAAAUCAUCAAAAUUCGAUUUUGGGAAGAUUGCGGCUGUUUCAGGUAGUGGACAGCAGCAUGGUAGUGUGUUUUGGAAGAAAGAGAGUGCAGCGAUAUUGUCGUCCUUAGAUGCUAAGAGAUCGUUGUUAGAGCAGCUAAAUGAUGCUUUUUCGACUAAAGAAUCUCCGAUAUGGAUGGACAACAGCACAACAGAACAAUGCAAGGCGAUAGAGAAGGCUGUUGGAGGGGCAAUGGAGUUGUCUAGACUUACUGGUUCUCGCGCAUACGAGAGAUUUACUGGUCCGCAGAUCCGGAGAUUGUUUGAGACACAACCGGAGGUUUAUAAUAAUACUGAGAGGAUCUCCCUUGUUAGCUCCUUCAUGGCAUCUUUGCUUAUUGGGGGCUAUGCCAGCAUUGAUCACACGGAUGGUGCAGGGAUGAAUUUGAUGGACAUUAAGCAAAGAGCGUGGUCCGAAAUCAUUUUGAAGGCCACAGCUCCUGGUUUGGAGGAAAAACUUGGAAAAUUAGCUCCGGCACAUGCUGUUGCUGGAUCUAUUGCUGCCUAUUUUGUGGAGAGGUAUCACUUCAACAAAGACUGUUUGAUCAUUCAAUGGUCUGGAGACAAUCCCAACAGCUUGGCAGGGUUGACUUUAAAUACUCCAGGGGAUCUGGCGAUUAGCCUUGGCACUAGUGAUACAGUUUUCGGAAUAACAAAGGAUCAUAAUCCAAGCAUGGAAGGGCAUGUUUUCCCUAAUCCCGUCGAUACUGAAAGCUACAUGGUAAUGUUGUGCUAUAAAAAUGGAUCACUGGCUCGUGAAGAUAUACGCAACCAUUAUGCUGAAAAGUCUUGGGACGUUUUUAACAAAUAUUUGCAGCAAACUCCUCCUCUAAAUGGUGGUAGAUUAGGAUUUUACUAUAAGGAUUUUGAGAUACUGCCACCCCUCCCAGUUGGUUUCCACCGCUAUAUCCUUGAGAACUUCACUGGAGAUUCUCUUGAUGGAAUAAAAGAGCAGGAAGUGGGAGAGUUUGAUCCCCCUUCCGAGGUUCGAGCCAUCGUAGAGGGACAACUUCUUUCCAAGAGAGCUCAUGCUGAAAGAUUUGGAAUGCCUUCUCCUCCAAAGCGAAUAAUUGCCACUGGAGGUGCUUCUGCUAACAAUUCCAUUCUAAGCUUGAUAGCUUCCAUCUUUGGAUGUGAUGUUUACACAGUUCAACAGUCAGACUCGGCUUCCCUAGGUGCUGCUUUGAGGGCUGCUCAUGGUUGGUUAUGCAACAAGAAGGGCAGUUUUGUG